GGAAACGACUGCUAAGACUGGAUAGGAGACAAGAAGGCAUCUUCUUGUUUUUAAAAGACCUAGCAAUAGGUAUGCUUAGGUAGGAGCUUGCGUCACAUUAGUUAGUUGGUGGGGUAAAGGCCUACCAAGACUAUGAUGUGUAGCCGGGCUGAGAGGUUGAACGGCCACAUUGGGACUGAGACACGGCCCAAACUCCUACGGGAGGCAGCAGUAGGGAAUUUUCGGCAAUGGAGGAAACUCUGACCGAGCAACGCCGCGUGAACGAUGAAGUAUUUCGGUACGUAAAGUUCUUUUAUUAGGGAAGAAUAAAUGAUGGAAAAAUCAUUCUGACGGUACCUAAUGAAUAAGCCCCGGCUAACUAUGUGCCAGCAGCCGCGGUAAUACAUAGGGGGCAAGCGUUAUCCGGAAUUAUUGGGCGUAAAGGGUGCGUAGGCGGUUAAAUAAGUUUGUGGUCUAAGUGCAAUGCUCAACAUUGUGAUGCUAUAAAAACUGUUUAGCUAGAGUAAGAUAGAGGCAAGUGGAAUUCCAUGUGUAGUGGUAAAAUGCGUAAAUAUAUGGAGGAACACCAGUAGCGAAGGCGGCUUGCUGGGUCUUUACUGACGCUGAGGCACGAAAGCGUGGGGAGCAAACAGGAUUAGAUACCCUGGUAGUCCACGCCGUAAACGAUGAGUACUAAACGUUGGGUAAAACCAGUGUUGAAGUUAACACAUUAAGUACUCCGCCUGAGUAGUACGUACGCAAGUAUGAAACUUAAAGGAAUUGACGGGACUCCGCACAAGCGGUGGAUCAUGUUGUUUAAUUCGAAGGUACCCGAAAAACCUCACCAGGUCUUGACAUGCUUCUGCAAAGCUGUAGAAACACAGUGGAGGUUAUCAGUUGCACAGGUGGUGCAUGGUUGUCGUCAGCUCGUGUCGUGAGAUGUUGGGUUAAGUCCCGCAACGAGCGCAACCCUUAUUGUUAGUUACCAGCACGUAAUGGUGGGGACUUUAGCAAGACUGCCAGUGAUAAAUUGGAGGAAGGUGGGGACGACGUCAAAUCAUCAUGCCCCUUAUGACCUGGGCUACAAACGUGAUACAAUGGCUGUUACAAAGGGUAGCUGAAGCGCAAGUUUUUGGCGAAUCUCAAAAAAACAGUCUCAGUUCGGAUUGAAGUCUGCAACUCGACUUCAUGAAGUUGGAAUCGCUAGUAAUCGCGAAUCAGCAUGUCGCGGUGAAUACGUUCUCGGGGUUUGUACACACCGCCCGUCA
Molecule: ribosomal RNA, 1247 nt
Filed under: uncultured bacterium
Lineage: Bacteria
Description: bacterial SSU rRNA
Rfam family: Bacterial small subunit ribosomal RNA
Source: RNAcentral